Transfer RNA from Penicillium subrubescens, 73 nucleotides. It matches the Rfam family "tRNA". From Rfam's summary of the family: Transfer RNA (tRNA) molecules are approximately 80 nucleotides in length. Their secondary structure includes four short double-helical elements and three loops (D, anti-codon, and T loops). Lineage: Eukaryota; Fungi; Ascomycota; Eurotiomycetes; Eurotiales; Aspergillaceae. The record is from Rfam.
GCACCGGUAGCUCAGGGGUUAGAGUAUGGGAUUGCAGAUCCUAGGGUCGGGCGUUCAAAUCGCCCUCGGUGCU